GAUGAACGCUGGCGGCGUGCCUAAUACAUGCAAGUCGAGCGAACAGACGAGGAGCUUGCUCCUCUGACGUUAGCGGCGGACGGGUGAGUAACACGUGGAUAACCUACCUAUAAGACUGGGAUAACUUCGGGAAACCGGAGCUAAUACCGGAUAAUAUAUUGAACCGCAUGGUUCAAUAGUGAAAGACGGUUUUGCUGUCACUUAUAGAUGGAUCCGCGCCGCAUUAGCUAGUUGGUAAGGUAACGGCUUACCAAGGCAACGAUGCGUAGCAGACCUGAGAGGGUGAUCGGCCACACUGGAACUGAGACACGGUCCAGACUCCUACGGGAGGCAGCAGUAGGGAAUCUUCCGCAAAGGGCGAAAGCUUGACGGAGCAACGCCGCGUGAGUGAUGAAGGUCUUCGGAUCGUAAAACUCUGUUAUUAGGGAAGAACAAAUGUGUAAGUAACUAUGCACGUCUUGACGGUACCUAAUCAGAAAGCCACGGCUAACUACGUG
This 497-nucleotide ribosomal RNA is filed under the name uncultured bacterium. Its description in RNAcentral is "partial 16S ribosomal RNA". It matches the Rfam family "Bacterial small subunit ribosomal RNA", at positions 28 to 507 of the family's 1533-position model. The record is from RNAcentral.